RNAcentral lists this ribosomal RNA (253 nucleotides) under uncultured bacterium. RNAcentral's name for it is "partial 16S ribosomal RNA". It matches the Rfam family "Bacterial small subunit ribosomal RNA", at positions 524 to 776 of the family's 1533-position model. The record is from RNAcentral.
UACAGAGGUCCCAAGCGUUGUUCGGAUUCACUGGGCGUAAAGGGUGCGUAGGUGGUCGGGUAAGUCUGAUGUGAAAUCUCCGAGCCUAACUCGGAAACUGCAUCGGAUACUAUUCGGCUUGAGGGUUGGAGGGGGGACUGGAAUACUUGGUGUAGCAGUGAAAUGCGUAGAUAUCAAGUGGAACACCAGUGGCGAAGGCGAGUCCCUGGACAACUCCUGACACUGAGGCACGAAAGCUAGGGGAUCAAACAGG